RNAcentral lists this unclassified non-coding RNA (250 nucleotides) under plant metagenome. Its description in RNAcentral is "partial contains small subunit ribosomal RNA, internal transcribed spacer 1, and 5.8S ribosomal RNA". The record is from RNAcentral.
GUAGGUGAACCUGCGGAAGGAUCAUUAAAGAAUGCCCCGUUUUUCGAAAUGGGUUCUAUUCCCAAACCGUGUAUACAUACCUUUGUUGCUUUGGCAGGCCGCCUUCGGGCGUCGGCUGACGCUGACCGCGCCUGCCAGAGGACCCAAACUCGUUUGUUUAGUGAUGUCUGAGUACUAUAUAAUAGUUAAAACUUUCAACAACGGAUCUCUUGGUUCUGGCAUCGAUGAAGAACGCAGCAUCUGACUGACU